RNAcentral lists this long non-coding RNA (1420 nucleotides) under Rhinopithecus bieti (black snub-nosed monkey). RNAcentral describes it as "lncRNA (ENSRBIG00000045027.1)". The record is from RNAcentral. Lineage: Eukaryota; Metazoa; Chordata; Mammalia; Primates; Cercopithecidae.
UACUGAGAUCCCAGCCUGGCAGAGCAGGCUGAUGGAGCAGUGAGGGCACCAGCGAUAAUGUUCUCUGAUUCUCUACUGCACUCAGGACCUGCAGAGACACACUCAGCCUCUCCACUUCAGCUCCACUGGCUCCCAUGGUGCACUUUGGCUCUACCAGGCAUGCUCUUGCCUUAAGACAUUUGUGCUCACUGUCCUCUCUACCUGGAUCCCUCUUACCCUAGAGAGCUUUCUGACAGAUUUCACUCUCUCAUUUUUUCACAUCUUUGCUCUAAAGUAACUUCAUCUUCAUGAACUUUUCCCUGACCACCCUACUAUAAAUUGCAACCCUCCCCACUCUUCAUGCUAAUAUAGUCUUACUAUAGUGGGCGUUGCCGUCUACCUUCCUACAUAACUUACUAAUGAGAAGGUAAGUGUCACUGGGGCAGAGAUUUGCUUUAUAUGUGCUCUGGUGUGUCCAAGUGGUGGCACCUAGUGGGCACUCAUUGUGGCCUUUGUCUUUCUUCACUCCACAGGACACCAUUGGCACUGCAUUCCCCAUUGAAUGAUGCCCGCUGGAACACAGCUUUAUAGACUUCAAUGCGAAUAGUGCCCCCUAGAAUUGUGCAAUUUGGCAGUACAGAGCCUAAUAUUUGUUGAAAAGAGGCCACAGGCGAUCCACUCUCUCUGCUCAUCUUCCUGAUCCAGUGGCCUCUGAAAUCCUUCUGGCGACUUCUAAUUGUAAACCUUCUCAUACUUGAAACCUUCCCUGUGUCAGGGUGAGGAAGCUGGUAUGAAGAGUGGGCUGAUUCCGUUUGUUUGCAGUUUAUUAUCAAACUUGGACAUCUUAUUUCAGAGAGAUAUAAGAAAGGCACUUGAUAAGCUGUCUGCAGCAGUUUCUCCUGAGGGGUCUGCCAAAAACGGCGUGGGAUCUCAGGGUCUGGUUUUCUUUGCCUUCUCCAGGUCUGUUACAUUUCCCAGAAUGGUUCCCAGUGCUGGAGAUAAUUCCUUUUCGGAGAACCUACAUUUCUCACCUGCUGAUUGCAAUUAGCCACUACCAGCUGGGGCCUGGUGUGCAGCUGAAAAGCUAACAAGAAGUGGAGACCACGCGGAACCCAGACAGGGCAUAGGAUGUGCAUAAAUAAGCAACGGUGCCUGUGUUUAUGAGAUGCUCCUGUGAAUUCAAGGCUUCCCCGCCCUCUGCAUAACUCUCCCUCUUCCGGCUUUGUGCUGCAUACCCCUCCUCUAACUAUAUUUUUUGUCUCUGGUUUUGUAGCCUACACUUAACAUCACAGUCACGAAUUUACCACUAAGUACAUUUUGUUAGGCAAUAAACAGCCUUGGAAGAAAAAUGAAAUCCGACUAGGACUUCUGUUCUAAUAAUGUUUGUGAGCUGUGGUGGAUUCAGGCAGGCCCCACAUGCAAAUCUUAGAGCUAACCUUGG